RNAcentral lists this ribosomal RNA (451 nucleotides) under uncultured bacterium. RNAcentral's name for it is "partial 16S ribosomal RNA". It matches the Rfam family "Bacterial small subunit ribosomal RNA", at positions 29 to 523 of the family's 1533-position model. The record is from RNAcentral.
AGCGAACGCUGGCGGCAGGCUUAACACAUGCAAGUCGAGCGGGCAUAGCAAUAUGUCAGCGGCAGACGGGUGAGUAACGCGUGGGAACGUACCUUUUGGUUCGGAACAACUGAGGGAAACUUCAGCUAAUACCGGAUAAGCCCUUACGGGGAAAGAUUUAUCGCCGAAAGAUCGGCCCGCGUCUGAUUAGCUAGUUGGUGAGGUAAUGGCUCACCAAGGCGACGAUCAGUAGCUGGUCUGAGAGGAUGAUCAGCCACAUUGGGACUGAGACACGGCCCAAACUCCUACGGGAGGCAGCAGUGGGGAAUAUUGGACAAUGGGCGCAAGCCUGAUCCAGCCAUGCCGCGUGAGUGAUGAAGGCCCUAGGGUUGUAAAGCUCUUUUGUGCGGGAAGAUAAUGACGGUACCGCAAGAAUAAGCCCCGGCUAACUUCGUGCCAGCCGCCGCGGUAA